This 74-nucleotide transfer RNA is filed under the name Lachnospiraceae bacterium AM25-27. RNAcentral's name for it is "tRNA-Met". It matches the Rfam family "tRNA". Rfam says of the family: Transfer RNA (tRNA) molecules are approximately 80 nucleotides in length. Their secondary structure includes four short double-helical elements and three loops (D, anti-codon, and T loops). The record is from RNAcentral. Lineage: Bacteria; Bacillati; Bacillota; Clostridia; Lachnospirales; Lachnospiraceae.
CGCGGGAUGGAGCAGUCUGGUAGCUCGUCGGGCUCAUAACCCGAAGGUCGUUGGUUCAAAUACGGCUCCCGCAA